RNAcentral lists this ribosomal RNA (1428 nucleotides) under uncultured prokaryote. Its description in RNAcentral is "partial 16S ribosomal RNA". It matches the Rfam family "Bacterial small subunit ribosomal RNA". The record is from RNAcentral.
UUGGGCGGCGUGCUACCAUGCAGUCGAACGAGAAAGCGGGGGCAACUCCGUGAGUAAAGUGGCAGACGGGUGAGUAACACGUGAAUAACCCACCCCCGAGUGGGGAAUAACCCCGCGAAAGCGGGGCUAAUGCCGCAUGACGCCCCGGGGUCGCACGAUCCUGGAGAAAGGCCUUCGGGUCGCUUUCAGAGGGGUCCGCGUCUGAUUAGCUAGUUGGUGGGGUAACGGCCUACCAAGGCGACGAUCAGUAGCCGGCCUGAGAGGGUGAACGGCCACACUGGAACUGAGACACGGUCCAGACUCCUACGGGAGGCAGCAGUGGGGAAUAUUGGACAAUGGGCGAAAGCCUGAUCCAGCAACGCCGCGUGGAGGAUGAAGGCCUUCGGGUUGUAAACUCCUGUCAGGUGGGACGAAAUACAUGACGGUACCACCAGAGGAAGCCCCGGCUAACUCCGUGCCAGCAGCCGCGGUAAUACGGAGGGGGCUAGCGUUAUUCGGAAUUAUUGGGCGUAAAGGGCGCGUAGGUGGCUUAAUAAGUCAGGGGUGAAAUCCCCGAGCUUAACUUGGGAAUUGCAUCUGAAACUGUCGAGCUUGAGUCCUGGAGGGGAUAGUGGAAUUCCCAGUGUAGCGGUGAAAUGCGUAGAUAUUGGGAGGAACACCUGCGGCGAAGGCGGCUACCUGGACAGUGACUGACGCUGAGGCGCGAAAGCUAGGGGAGCGAACGGGAUUAGAUACCCCGGUAGUCCUAGCCGUAAACGAUGGGCACUUGGUGUUGGGGGUAUUGAGUCCCUCGGUGCCGGAGUUAACACGUUAAGUGCCCCGCCUGGGGAGUACGGUCGCAAGACUGAAACUCAAAGGAAUUGACGGGGGCCCGCACAAGCGGUGGAGCAUGUGGUUCAAUUCGACGCAACGCGAAGAACCUUACCGGGGCUCGAACGGCAAUUGCUACCUCUGGAAACAGAAAGUUCUCUUCGGAGACGGUUGCCGAGGUGCUGCAUGGCUGUCGUCAGCUCGUGUCGUGAGAUGUUGGGUUAAGUCCCGCAACGAGCGCAACCCUUGCCCUUAGUUGCUACCAGGUAAAGCUGGGAACCCUAAGGGAACUGUCGGCGAAAAGCCGGAGGAAGGUGGGGAUGACGUCAAGUCCUCAUGGCCCUUACGUCCUGGGCUACACACGUGCUACAAUGGUCGGCACAAAGGGUCGCCAACCCGCGAGGGGGAGCUAAUCCCAAAAAGCCGAUCUCAGUUCGGAUUGCAGUCUGCAACUCGACUGCAUGAAGUUGGAAUCGCUAGUAAUCGCAGAUCAGAAUGCUGCGGUGAAUACGUUCCCGGGCCUUGUACACACCGCCCGUCACAUCACGAAAGUGGGUUGUACUAGAAAUCGCUGAACUAACCCGUAAGGGGAGUAGGUGCUUAAGGUAUGAUCCAAGU